UCAACAAUAAGGAGGACAGAAGCAGCCCAGCUGUACCAACUCCCAGAGCUGCAGAGGCGCAGAAGCAUGCACCAACCCAAACCUGCAGCAAUAACAUAAGGUAACCAACUGCUUCCGCAAUGCAGUAACAGAGGAAAGGACUCCUCGGCUGAACCGAAAAGGGAACCCCAUUGUAGCUAAGUUCCACACCAGUAGCUCGCUCGAGACAGAGCACAGCUUGCCCGAGACCGAAUGACCGAGCAAGCACAGCAUAGAAUAGUAGACCCAAACAACGCUUGCCUGAGACCAACCUGGUUUUUACCCGAAACCGAGCACAGCAAACUGC
Molecule: long non-coding RNA, 325 nt
Filed under: Panax ginseng (ginseng)
Lineage: Eukaryota; Viridiplantae; Streptophyta; Magnoliopsida; Apiales; Araliaceae
Description: long non-coding RNA (PGIN_LNC009284)
Source: RNAcentral